RNAcentral lists this long non-coding RNA (852 nucleotides) under Mytilus galloprovincialis (Mediterranean mussel). Lineage: Eukaryota; Metazoa; Mollusca; Bivalvia; Mytilida; Mytilidae. The record is from RNAcentral.
AGUUCAUGUAUAUAUAAGAAAUAAAGUUAAAUGCAUCAAGUUUCUUGUAAAUAAUAAAAAAAAGUUAUAUAUAAACUAUAAAUCAACUGGAUAAGCACCUAAAUAAAUAGAAAUAUGAUAUGAAUUAUGAUUAUUAAGGUUACUACAAAAUCUAAAUAUUCCUCUCACUUUUUCAAUACCAUAUAACUGUGGAUUCAUUAUUAUUAAUGAGGGGAAAUAACUCUUCAUGGAUUUCCAGGUUAUUGUGGAUUCAUUUAUUUUCGUGGGUACCAAUUUUCGUGGAUUGAGGAAAACUUACAUGUUCGUGGAUAUUUAAUUUCAUGGCUUUGGCGAAAUCUGCGUACAAGCCUGUAGAAAAUUGGGUAUUCGUUGAAUAUUUAAUUUCGUGGUUCAUCUGCUCCAACGAAAUCCACGAAAAUUGGUAUCUAAUGAAUAAUAAUGAAUCCACAGUAUUGGUGAAAUUUUCUAAAAGCUUGUUACUUUUGAAUGAAGACUUUGGCAAAACAACAAAUUCGAUAUCCACGUAAAAUACAAUUUCUUAUCAAUCUACGAAAUUGUUAUCCAUGAAAAUUAAUGAAUCCAUAGCAUAUACUAGUUACACUUCUUUCCAUAUAAGAUAUAUUCUUUAAUAUAUUUUUAUAAUUUGUUUCCUGUUUUUAUUUUUAUUCAGUGCAUUACUGCUCAUACUAUUUGGUAAUCUUCCUAAGAAAUAUCAAAUGCAUAUUGAUAAUAAGUUUUGAACUAAACAAAAAGUGACUACCAGUAUUUCAAUUCUAAAAAUCAAAUCUUUCCAGCAUUCCUAUGAAACAUUUAAAAAGUUUAAGGAAAAUACUGAGCUCCAAUGUCUGAAAU